ACUAAAUAGAUACCCAGGUAGUCCCAGCCGUAAACGAUGCUCGCUAGGUGUCAGGCAUGGCGCGACCGUGUCUGGUGCCGCAGGGGAAGCCGUGAAGCGAGCCAUCUGGGAAGUACGGCCGCAAGGCUGAAACUUAAAGGAAUUGGCGGGGAGCACAACAACGGGUGGAGCCUGCGGUUUAAUUGGACUCAACGCCGGACAACUCACCGGGGGCGACAGCAAUAUGUAGGCCAAGCUGAAGACUUUGCCUGAAUCGCUGAGAGGAGGUGCAUGGCCGUCGCCAGUUCGUACUGUGAAGCAUCCUGUUAAAGUCAGGCAACGAGCGAGACCCGGUGCCCACUGUUACCAGCAUGUCCUCCGGGACGAUGGGUACUCUGUGGGGACCGCCUAUGUUAAAUAGGAGGAAGGUGCGGGCCACGGUAGGUCAGUAUGCCCGGAAUCUCCUGGGCUACACGCGGGCUACAAUGGAUGGGACAAUGGUCCUACUCCGAAAGGAGCUGGUAAUCUCACAAA
Molecule: ribosomal RNA, 513 nt
Filed under: uncultured bacterium
Lineage: Bacteria
Description: bacterial SSU rRNA
Rfam family: Archaeal small subunit ribosomal RNA
Source: RNAcentral